Molecule: ribosomal RNA, 253 nt
Filed under: uncultured bacterium
Lineage: Bacteria
Description: partial 16S ribosomal RNA
Rfam family: Bacterial small subunit ribosomal RNA
Source: RNAcentral
UACAGAGGGUGCAAGCGUUAAUCGGAAUUACUGUGCGUAAAGCGCGCGUAGGCGGUCGAGUAAGUCGGAUGUGAAAUCCCCGGGCUUAACCUGGGAAUUGCAUUCGAUACUGCUUGGCUAGAGUGUGGAAGAGGGAAGCGGAAUUUCCGGCGUAGCGGUGAAAUGCGUAGAUAUCGGAAGGAACACCAGUGGCGAAGGCGGCUUCCUGGUCCAACACUGACGCUGAGGCGCGAAAGCUAGGGGAGCAAACGGG